RNAcentral lists this ribosomal RNA (253 nucleotides) under uncultured bacterium. RNAcentral's name for it is "partial 16S ribosomal RNA". It matches the Rfam family "Bacterial small subunit ribosomal RNA", at positions 524 to 776 of the family's 1533-position model. The record is from RNAcentral.
UACAGAGGUCCCGAGCGUUGUUCGGAUUCAUUGGGCGUAAAGGGUGCGUAGGCGGCGCGGUAAGUCGGGUGUGAAAUCUCGGAGCUUAACUCCGAAACUGCAUUCGAUACUGCCGUGCUUGAGGACUGGAGAGGAGACUGGAAUUCAUGGUGUAGCAGUGAAAUGCGUAGAGAUCAUGAGGAAGACCAGUGGCGAAGGCGGGUCUCUGGACAGUUCCUGACACUGAGGCACGAAGGCCAGGGGAGCAAACGGG